ACUCCGUGUGGCCCGUGGGCGCCGUGAGAGGGAAAGGGCAGGCUUCCUAGGGUUUGUGGCGGGGCGGCAGCUGCAGCUGGAAUGCCGGCGACACAUCCCCUUUUCCGGCCAUUUGCACACUGGGAUCUAAUACAAUGGCUAGCGAUGGUGAUGCUUCACCUUCACGGAAGCAUAUGUUGUUGGAGUUGCCUUGUGAUGAAGAAGGUGCAAAUGUGAGCCAAAAUGUUGGUGUGUCCGCAUCAUCAGCCACGACCCACACCUGCCGCUGCCAGAGCUUCUCAUGAACAAGGUGAAAAUCUAGAAGGUGGAAGUAAUGUUGAUGGGGAUGAUUCUUCAAAGGAAAAGCAAUCAAAGAAGUCCACUUCAGAUGUUUAGCAGUAAUUUUAAGAAUAUUAGAGCAUUUGUGCUAGCUGUUAAGGGGUAUCCAUUGCAAUGGGAGGAGUUUCAAAAAUGUGCUACUGAAUGUGGUGUGGACACAAAGGUUGGACUCUCUAUUGAUGUUGCUACUAGGUGUAAUUCAACAUAUUGCAUGUUGAGGGAUGCACUACAUAACAGGGCUGCCUUUGAAAGGCUUAUGUCAUAUGAACGUCACAGGAUGAAGACCUAGAUGAUGAUCAUGAUGAUGGACGUGAGGCAUCGUUGUAAGCUUGUUGAUGAUGACCUAGAUGAUGAUAAUGCGACAUGAAUGCUUUGAAUGUUUCUUACUGUACUUAUUGCCAACUUGGGACUUGUUAUAUUGUGAACUUGUGAUCAACUUUUUAUGUUGUGAACUUGUGAUCUUUGUGGUCAACUUGUUAUAUUGUGAUCUUUGUGGUCAACUUGUUAUAUUGUGAACUUGUGAUCUGUGUGAUCAACUUGUUAUAUUAUGAACUUAUGAUCUCAAUGAUCAACUUGUUAUAUUGUGAAUUGUGAACUUGUGAUCUGUGUGAUCAACUUGUUAUAUUAUGAACUUAUGAUCUCAAUGAUCAACUUGUUAUAUUGUGAAUUGUGAACUUGUGGUCUUUGUAAAUUUUAUUGUAUUGUGAAUUUUUAUUGAGAUAUUUCCAUAUUGAUAUAGUUACCGAUUGUAUUUUAGGUUCCGACCAAUACUGAUGUAUUUUUCGUAUCGUUUCUCUUUCGGAGUUACCGUUUCCGAUAAAAAAUGAAAAUGAUAAUGAUUUUAGUGUUUUCCGACCGAUUUCAUCCCUACACCAGACAUGCGGUGGUACUACAGCACCUCGAGUAACUUUUGUUUUAAACUUCUCGUGGGGGCUUUUAGCUGAAUUUAGCUAGCAAUAAUUUUCGUGAGUGUGCAUGGAUCUCUCCCAAUUUAUAUAUUUUAAAAUUUAAAUUAAAUUUCUCACUAAACGGCGCCCUGUGCUUAUCUACCGUGGAAUCAGCUAGCGCUCACCUCGAGGAAUUUUGGAUCUCCAUGGACCUUACGAUUUUUGGAACUUCUUUCCAUGAGACUGUACCGUUUGUUCAUUCAGUAACGGAAAAGCUAUAGUUGAGGUAAGGAAUCCGAAUAGAUCAACAUUACCACUUCAAGUAUGCCGAGAGCGAACAACCCGCAACACGUCGAUUGGUUCACCAAGCUCGCUUCAAAACGAGUUGAAUCAUCAAACCGAUUAAGUAUUACUAUUAGGAAGUCAAAACUUAAAAAAAAA
This is a long non-coding RNA of Zea mays, 1646 nucleotides long. RefSeq lists it as uncharacterized. The transcript has 3 exons. Lineage: Eukaryota; Viridiplantae; Streptophyta; Magnoliopsida; Poales; Poaceae. The record is from RefSeq and is a predicted model, not a curated record.